RNAcentral lists this ribosomal RNA (497 nucleotides) under uncultured bacterium. Its description in RNAcentral is "partial 16S ribosomal RNA". It matches the Rfam family "Bacterial small subunit ribosomal RNA", at positions 28 to 507 of the family's 1533-position model. The record is from RNAcentral.
GAUGAACGCUGGCGGCGUGCCUAAUACAUGCAAGUCGAGCGAACAGAUGAGGAGCUUGCUCCUCUGACGUUAGCGGCGGACGGGUGAGUAACACGUGGAUAACCUACCUAUAAGACUGGGAUAACUUCGGGACACCGGAGCUAAUACCGGAUAAUAUAUUGAACCGCAUGGUUCAAUAGUGAAAGACGGCUUUUCUGUCACUUCUUGCUGGAUCCGCGCCGCAUUAGCUGGUUGGUAAGGUAACGGCUUAUCAAGGCAACGAUGCGUAGCCGAAGUGAGAGGGGGAUAGGCCACAUGGGAACUGAGACACGGUCCAGGCUCCUACGAGAGGCAGCAGUAGGGAAUCUUCCGCAAUGGGGGAAAGCCUGACGGAGCAACGCCGCGUGAGUGAUGAAGGUCUUCGGAUCGUAAAACUCUGUUAUUAGGGAAGAACAAAUGUGGAAGUAACUAUGCACGUAUUGACGGUACCGGAUCAGAAAGCCACGGCUAACUACGUG